Non-coding RNA from Mesocricetus auratus (golden hamster), 58 nucleotides. The record is from Rfam. NCBI's taxonomy places the organism in Eukaryota, Metazoa, Chordata, Mammalia, Rodentia, Cricetidae.
UGGCUCAGCAGUUAAGAGCACUGGCUGCUCUUCCAGAGGACCUGGGUUCAAUUCCCAG